This 339-nucleotide unclassified non-coding RNA is filed under the name soil metagenome. Its description in RNAcentral is "partial contains 5.8S ribosomal RNA, internal transcribed spacer 2, and large subunit ribosomal RNA". The stretch from base 1 to 120 matches the Rfam family "5.8S ribosomal RNA", at positions 35 to 154 of the family's 154-position model. The record is from RNAcentral.
GAUGAAGAACGCAGCGAGAUGCGAUAAGUAAUGCGAAUUGCAGAAUUCCGUGAGUCAUCGAAUCUUUGAACGCACAUUGCGCCCUUUGGCAUUCCGAAGGGCAUGCCUGUUCGAGCGUCAUUUAUCAACCCUCAAGCCCGGCUUGCGGUUGGGUCCCGCCGUGGGCGACCACGGCGGACCUGAAAGGUAAUGGCGGUGCCCGUGGGGCCCUGGACGCAGCGAGCUUCUCGGCACGCGUCCCGGCGGUCCCCGGCGGCGUCUCCACCAACCCACCACGCAGAUUGACCUCGGAUCAGGUAGGGAUACCCGCUGAACUUAAGCAUAUCAAUAAGCGGAGGA